AUUGAACGCUGGCGGCAUGCCUAACACAUGCAAGUCGAGCGGAUGAAGGGAGCUUGCUCCUGGAUUCAGCGGCGGGCGGGUGAGUAAUGCCUAGGAAUCUGCCUGGUAGUGGGGGAUAACGUCCGGAGACGGGCGCUAAUACCGCAUACGUCCUGAGGGAGAAAGUGGGGGAUCUUCGGACCUCACGCUAUCAGAUGAGCCUAGGUCGGAUUAGCUAGUUGGUGGGGUAAAGGCCUACCAAGGCGACGAUCCGUAGCUGGUCUGAGAGGAUGAUCAGUCACACUGGAACUGAGACACGGUCCAGACUCCUACGGGAGGCAGCAGUGGGGAAUAUUGGACAAUGGGCGAAAGCCUGAUCCAGCCAUGCCGCGUGUGUGAAGAAGGUCUUCGGAUUGUAAAGCACUUUAAGUUGGGAGGAAGGGCAGUAAGUUAAUACCUUGCUGUUUUGACGGUACCAACAGAAUAAGCACCGGCUAACUUCGUG
Molecule: ribosomal RNA, 484 nt
Filed under: uncultured bacterium
Lineage: Bacteria
Description: partial 16S ribosomal RNA
Rfam family: Bacterial small subunit ribosomal RNA
Source: RNAcentral